This 213-nucleotide long non-coding RNA is filed under the name Elaeis guineensis (African oil palm). RNAcentral describes it as "long non-coding RNA (EGUI_LNC018363)". Lineage: Eukaryota; Viridiplantae; Streptophyta; Magnoliopsida; Arecales; Arecaceae. The record is from RNAcentral.
UGGUCUUGUUAGAUGUGUGCCUUAGAAACCAAUCUUGACUGACGCAUACCUUUCUCUAGGGCAUAUUUUGUGCUUGAUGGGUAGUAUUAAUAACCAAUCAUGUCUUUUGCAUCCAUGAUUUAUCCUAAAAAUUAAUAAAGAUGAUUUUGUAUAUUUUUAAGAUGUUGAGAAUUUGAGACAUACAUCAUUAGUGGUUAAUUUCUAAAUGCUCCC